This 253-nucleotide ribosomal RNA is filed under the name uncultured bacterium. RNAcentral's name for it is "partial 16S ribosomal RNA". It matches the Rfam family "Bacterial small subunit ribosomal RNA", at positions 524 to 776 of the family's 1533-position model. The record is from RNAcentral.
UACGAGAGGCCCAAACGUUAUUCGGAAUUACUGGGCUUAAAGAGUUCGUAGGCGGCAUGAAAAGUAGGGUGUGAAAGCCCUCGGCUUAACCGAGGAAUUGCGCUCUAAACUGUCGUGCUCGAGGAACCUAGAGGUGAGCAGAACAGAUGGUGGAGCGGUGAAAUGCGUUGAUAUCAGAAGGAACGCCGGUGGCGAAAGCGGCGGACUGGAGCUCUUCUGACGCUGAGGCGCGAAAGCUAGGGGAGCAAACGGG